Long non-coding RNA from Dermacentor albipictus, 262 nucleotides. RefSeq lists it as uncharacterized. The record is from RefSeq and is a predicted model, not a curated record. Lineage: Eukaryota; Metazoa; Arthropoda; Arachnida; Ixodida; Ixodidae.
AUUUGUAUCAAGUCAAGCAUGGGCUUCAAGUUAAGAUGCAUUUCUGCAUACCGAGUUUCCUCACCAAGGCCACCUUCACAAAAGUGCUUUUCAUGACAGUGCUAUCGUCGUCCUUUAUCUCCCCACGACUGGCGCAAGUGCAGCGGAAACGGGCGGCACCUUGAGACGGCAAAGACAGGCGCUGUCGGAACCAGCGCUUCACAGCUCGCGGAGCAGAAGUGCGCCGUUUAUUCUCGCGAUGGGAGUGCGUGCUGAAAGAAGA